UACGAACUGUGCAAACGUUAUUCGGAUUCACUGGGCUUAAAGGGUGCGUAGGCGGCCAUGUAAGUAGGGUGUGAAAUCCCCCGGCUUAACUUGGGAACUGCAUCCGAUACUGGAUGGCUUGAAUCCGGGAGAGGGAUGCGGAAUUCCAGGUGUAGCGGUGAAAUGACGUAGAUAUCGGAAGGAACACCUGUGGCGAAAGCGGCUCACUGGACCAUUACUGACGCUGAGGCACGAAAGCUAGGGGAGCAAACAGG
RNAcentral lists this ribosomal RNA (254 nucleotides) under uncultured bacterium. RNAcentral's name for it is "partial 16S ribosomal RNA". It matches the Rfam family "Bacterial small subunit ribosomal RNA", at positions 524 to 776 of the family's 1533-position model. The record is from RNAcentral.